UGGGGAAUAUUGCACAAUGGGCGCAAGCUUGAUGCAGCCAUGCCGCGUGUAUGAAGAAGGCCUUCUGGUUGUAAAUUACUCUCAGUCGGGAGGAAGGUGUUAAGGUUAAUAAACUUACCAAUUGACGCUACCGACAGAAGAAGCACCGGCUAACUCCGUUCCAGCAGCCGCGGUUAUACGGAGGGUGCAAGCGCUAAUCGGAAUUACUGGGCGUAAAGCGCACGCAGGCGGUUGAUUAAGUCAGAUGUGAUAUCCCCGGGCUUAACCCGGGAAAUGCAUCUGAUACUGGUCAGCUAGAGUCUUGUAGAGGGAGGUAGAAUUCCAUGUGUAGCGAUAAGAUGCGUAGAGAUGUGGAGGAAUACAGGUGACGAAGGCGGCCCCCUCGACAAAGACUGACGCUCAGGUGCGAAAGCGUGGGGAGCAAACAGG
Molecule: ribosomal RNA, 429 nt
Filed under: Chloroflexota bacterium
Lineage: Bacteria; Bacillati; Chloroflexota
Description: Chloroflexi bacterium partial 16S ribosomal RNA
Rfam family: Bacterial small subunit ribosomal RNA
Source: RNAcentral